Molecule: ribosomal RNA, 498 nt
Filed under: uncultured bacterium
Lineage: Bacteria
Description: partial 16S ribosomal RNA
Rfam family: Bacterial small subunit ribosomal RNA
Source: RNAcentral
AUUGAACGCUGGCGGCAUGCUUUACACAUGCAAGUCGAACGGACUUUGGGGCUUGCUCCAAAGUUAGUGGCGAACGGGUGAGUAAUGCAUCGGAACGUGCCCAGUUGUGGGGGAUAACGUAGCGAAAGUUACGCUAAUACCGCAUACGACCUACGGGUGAAAGCGGGGGAUCGCAAGACCUCGCGCAAUUGGAGCGGCCGAUGUCGGAUUAGCUAGUUGGUGGGGUAAAGGCUCACCAAGGCGACGAUCCGUAGCUGGUCUGAGAGGAUGACCAGCCACACUGGGACUGAGACACGGCCCAGACUCCUACGGGAGGCAGCAGUGGGGAAUCUUGGACAAUGGGCGAAAGCCUGAUUCAGCAAUGCCGCGUGAGUGAAGAAGGCCUUCGGGUUGUAAAGCUCUUUCGGACGGGACGAAAUGGCAUCCGUUAAUACCGGGUGUCGAUGACGGUACCGUAAGAAGAAGCACCGGCUAACUACGUGCCAGCAGCCGCCGUAA